CUGAAGUCAAUGAAGCCGACUGGGUUCCUUUGCUCAUGGGCACCCAGUGUGCAACGGCUGUGAAGAACAACUCCUUGAUAAUGUAUGCAGCCUGCUGCUUGUAUGGGCUCCCUGCCUAAAGGGGUCUUGGAGACACUG
This is a small nucleolar RNA of Octodon degus (degu), 138 nucleotides long. Its record names the gene SNORA70. It matches the Rfam family "Small nucleolar RNA SNORA70". From Rfam's summary of the family: snoRNA U70 seems to be exclusive to mammals and is a member of the H/ACA class of snoRNA which contain H (ANANNA) and ACA box motifs. H/ACA box snoRNAs are involved in the conversion of uridines to pseudouridines (5-ribosyluracil) a constituent of structural RNAs (transfer, ribosomal, small nuclear, and small nucleolar). The record is from Ensembl. Lineage: Eukaryota; Metazoa; Chordata; Mammalia; Rodentia; Octodontidae.